GCGCUCACUUUGGCAGCACAUAUACUAAAACUAGAACAAUACGGAGAUUAGCAUGGCCCCUGCGCAAGGAUGAUACGCAAAUUCGUGAAGGGUUCCAUAUUUUA
This is a small nuclear RNA of Diceros bicornis minor, 104 nucleotides long. The record is from RefSeq and is a predicted model, not a curated record. NCBI's taxonomy places the organism in Eukaryota, Metazoa, Chordata, Mammalia, Perissodactyla, Rhinocerotidae.